CCUACGGGAGGCAGCAGUGGGGAAUAUUGCACAAUGGGGGAAACCCUGAUGCAGCAAAGCAGCGUGGGUGAAGAAGCGUUUCGGCGCGGAAAGCCCUGUCAGCAGGGAAGAAAAACGACGGUACCCGGCCAAGAAGCCCCGGCUAACUACGUGCCAGCAGCCGCGGUAAUACGUAGGGGGCGAGCGGUAUCCGGAAUUACUGGGUGUAACGGGAGCGUAGACGGCGAGGUAAGCCUGAAGUGGAAGCCCGCGGCCCAAACGUGGAACUGCGUUGGAAACUGGUGUGCUGGAGUAUGGGAGGGGUAAGCGGAAGUCGUGGUGUAGCGGUGAAAUGCGUAGAUAUCAGGAGGAACACCGGUGGCGAAGGCGGCUUACUGGACCAUAACUGACGUUGAGGCACGAAAGCGUGGGUAUCAAACAGGAUUAGAUACCCCGGUAGUC
This 441-nucleotide ribosomal RNA is filed under the name uncultured bacterium. Its description in RNAcentral is "partial 16S ribosomal RNA". It matches the Rfam family "Bacterial small subunit ribosomal RNA", at positions 338 to 795 of the family's 1533-position model. The record is from RNAcentral.